CACACACACACACAGUCAGACACAAACACACACACACACAGACACAUACACAAACACACACACACACACAGUCAGACACAUACACAGUCAGACACAAACACACACACACACACAGUCAGACACAAACACAUACACAGUCACAUACACACACACACAGUCAGACACAUACACAGACACACACACAGUCAGACACAUACACAGACAC
Molecule: non-coding RNA, 205 nt
Organism: Pelobates cultripes (western spadefoot toad)
Lineage: Eukaryota; Metazoa; Chordata; Amphibia; Anura; Pelobatidae
Source: the annotation of a GenBank genome assembly